Molecule: ribosomal RNA, 614 nt
Filed under: uncultured bacterium
Lineage: Bacteria
Description: bacterial SSU rRNA
Rfam family: Bacterial small subunit ribosomal RNA (bases 1-518)
Source: RNAcentral
CCUACGGGAGGCAGCAGUGAGGAAUUUUCCGCAAUGGGCGAAAGCCUGACGGAGCAAUACCGCGUGAGGGAUGAAGGAUUUUGGUCUGUAAACCUCUUUUCUCAAGAAAGAAGUUCUGACGGUACUUGAGGAAUAAGCAUCGGCUAACUCCGUGCCAGCAGCCGCGGUAAUACGGGGGAUGCAAGCGUUAUCCGGAAUGAUUGGGCGUAAAGCGCCUGUAGGUUGUUUAUUAAGUCCGUUGUUAAAGCCUAGGGCUCAACCCUAGAAAAGCAAUGGAAACUAGUAGACUAGAGUAUGGCAGGGGUAGAGGGAAUUUCUAGUGUAGCGGUGAAAUGCGUAGAUAUUAGAAAGAACACCGGUGGCGAAAGCGCUCUACUGGACCAUUACUGACACUCAGAGGCGAAAGCUAGGGUAGCAAAAGGGAUUAGAUACCCCUGUAGUCCUAGCCGUAAACGAUGGAUACUAGAUGUUGUGCAUUAUGUACAGUAUCGUAGUACUACGUACGUUAAGUAUCCGUCCGUCGGGUAGGUACGUCGUCGCGAGGUAGGAACGUACGAAAGGAAAGUUAGACGGCGUGAGUAACGUGCCGAGGACGACGACGAGGGGAGGUUAGG